This 1196-nucleotide long non-coding RNA is filed under the name Oryctolagus cuniculus (rabbit). Its description in RNAcentral is "lncRNA (ENSOCUG00000031882.1)". The record is from RNAcentral. Lineage: Eukaryota; Metazoa; Chordata; Mammalia; Lagomorpha; Leporidae.
CCAGCCACUCGCUUUGUUUCCCGGCUCCUGUCUAAGCUUGACAGGCCAGGAGAGAGAGCCAGGCUGUCUCGUCUGCCAGCACACCCACCACCCCAGGCAACUCAGGCCCACUCAGGACAGGAAUCUCUCUCUGUGGGGUGGCCUUGUGAAUGCAGGUUUCACAUCUGUGCUGUACGAUGCUUCUACUUCGAAUUCUUAUCUCUGUGGGACAAGAGGUUGGAGCAAAGACUAAGAUGCCUAGGCCCACAUAAAAACUGCUUUCUUAGAGUUUCUCUGUGUCCACAGCCACCAGAUGUGGCUGCUGGGUGGUUCCGUGGGAGGAAGUCUCGGUGGUCAGAUGAGCACAUCUGCCUUGGGGCUGCAGUGAGGUGGGACAAGGAAAAGAGUGCUCUGCGGGGCUGGUGCUGUGGUGUAGUAGGUAAAGCCGAGGCCUGCAGUGCUGGCAUCCCAUAUGGGUGCUGGCUGGGUCAAGUCCUGGCUGCUCCACUUCCAGUCCAGAGCCGUGCUAUGGCCUCGGAAAGCAGUAGAAGAUGGCCCAAGUCCUUGGGCCCCUGCAUCCACAUGAGAGACCUGGAAAAAGCUCCUGGCUCCUGGCUUCGGAUCAGUGCAGCUCCAGCCAUUGUGGCCAUAUGGGGAGUGAACCAGAGGAUGGAAGACCUUUCUCUCCCUGCCUCUCCUCCUCUCUCUAUAACUCCGACUUCCAUAUAAAUAAAUAAAUCUUUUUAUAAAAGUGAGCAUCGUUCAAACCACAGAAUGACGCAGCAUCCUACUGUCCUGAAUGGAGGGGAGUGACAGCUGCUUCCGUCUGACUGUACCCAGAGCCUCGCCCUCAUCAGCCAGUCUGCAGGGAGGAUUAAUUAAUUCAGAGACCCAGUCCCAGGCUUGCCCUCCCUCCCUGACAGCAUGCAAUCCAGGGCAAAGUCCGGUUUCCCUAACCCAAGUCCAGAUCCCAUCACUGAGUCCUUCCUAACAGAUACGUCCUGGGGCUCCAGGCUGGGAGCUCUCCCUCCCUGGAAUGAGCGGGAGGUGAUGCUGGGAGGCCUUUGGCUGGAAGAGAUUGACCAAGCUUUUUCCCUGCCCUAGGCCUCCCACUGUGCCUCCCCUCAAGGGUCAUGUGCUGGAGCUAAACUUCUAUUCCAUCUGUGACAGACUCAGCCUAGGCUUUCCAGCUCAGCUUCUGUAAGAGAAACAUCAUU